UCUUCCGGUUCUGACAAUGUAUAUCGAAGGCUAAAUCUGCCUUUAUGAAUCAUGGAAUUUUUUGGAGCAAAGGAACUCAUUCUAGAAUAUAGCAACCACCCAAAGAUUCAUGGAAACAUCUUCAUGACUCAGAGAUGGAACUCGGGUUACCAGGCAGCAAACACCUUACCCACUGAGCCUCCAUGUUCUGCUUUGCUCAACUGACAGCACUCUACUCAGAGGUCCAGAAAUUCUCUAAGCCUGGCCAUUUCCCUGGGAUCGGCACAAAGCAGUAUCCACCAGGUGGAAAGGACCCUACCUCGUCAUCUUGACCACUCCAAUGGCUCUCAAAGAGGAUGGCAUCUCCACUUGGAUCCACCACACCCACGCCUGACCUGUGGUGUCUGCAGCUGAGGAACAUCCAGAUGGAACCUGAAGAGUGUCCAAACAUCCUACUGAUCCCUCGAAGUUAAAGCUACACCAAAGACCCUGAGAUGAAGCUUGCUCUGCUAAUCUGGUGCCUCCUGAUUCACCUGCUUGUCCCCCAGGGAGGGGCAAAACCCCAAACUAACCCCCAUGCACCUUGGAGCCUGACCUGGACCCUGACCAAUCCUGAGACUGGAUGAACUUUUAAAUUGGCCACUGAGACCCAUCCCUUAGGUAUUUGGUACCCCCAGUUAACCUUUGAUUUAUGUACCCUAGCAACGGACUCAUGGACAUCAGUUGAUACUCACCAGGUCUUCCCCAAACACGCCUACCCCACUUGUUGGUAUAGUAACUGGUGCAUCUGCCCAGGGGGUAAGUGAACUCGCCAGUGCAGGGGGCCUGAGGCAUAUUAUUGUGCUGCUUGGGGUUGUGAAACUAGUGCCUCUAGAUGGGGGACUAGCAAACAAGACCUGGUCUCCUUUACUUGUCCCUACUAUGGGGAGUCCACAAUUGCUAUUACCUUUAAUGAAGAAGGAAAAAAGUUUGAUUGGUUGACAGGCAAAAUUUGGGGGCUUCGACUAUACCUCCCAGGCAAAGGAGAUAUGGGGAUCCUAUUCUCUGUAAGGCUGGUUGCAAUGCCCCCUCUGAUCGUGGCAAUGGGGCCUAAUAAGAUAAUCAAUCCUAGCCUAACAGAGAGAAAACCUCUCUCUCCCUCUAAUUCCACCACACCCAUGGAUGCCCCUAACAUGUCAGUUACAUCUACACCUAAAGCACUGGGUGACUGGAACCAUGUCUGAAAGACCCUCGGGGCCCCCAGACCCCCUGUUUACAAUCUUGCAACAGUCAUUCUUACUCUUGACAGUCCAGACCAGAGCUGACCACCUCCUGUUGGCUGUGCUAUAGUGCAAAGCCACCCUAUUAUGAGGGAGUGGCUGUGUUGCCCCCCAAUGACAGCCCUGGGUGGCAGGAACAAAAGGAGGCUAUAGGGUCUUGCCGAUGGCAUUCAGAUAUUUCCCUGACCCUUGAACAAGUCUCAGGUCAGGGACUAUGUAUAGGAAUGGUGCCCCACCACUUCCUGCCUCUUUGUAAUCAUACCAAGUCUAUUGCCAGCCUAACCGGGUAUCCGGUCCCAGCAGAUGACACUUGGUGGGCAUGCUCCUCUGCGCCCUGCGCCCAUGUUACUGUGCUGAACCAAAUUGGAGGGGUCUGUGUCCUCAUACGCCUAGUUCCCUGAGUGGUUUUUCAUGCCGCAGAGGAGCUGUCUAGCCUCAAUGAAGCCACUCAGUACGCCCUCAGACAAAAAAGAGCCAGUCACAGCCCUUACCCUUGCUAUUUUAAUGGGCACUAGCAUAGCAGGAUUGGGGACAGGGGCGGCUUCCCUCAU
Peromyscus maniculatus bairdii (prairie deer mouse) is the source of this 1789-nucleotide non-coding RNA. The record is from RefSeq and is a predicted model, not a curated record. Lineage: Eukaryota; Metazoa; Chordata; Mammalia; Rodentia; Cricetidae.